Molecule: long non-coding RNA, 1571 nt
Filed under: Homarus americanus (American lobster)
Lineage: Eukaryota; Metazoa; Arthropoda; Malacostraca; Decapoda; Nephropidae
Description: uncharacterized LOC121859794
Source: RNAcentral
UAUAGUAAAUUUAACUCUAUAGACUGACAGCAGACAAAACACAUGUAGGUACUUCUCACUGGCUCAUAAGUCAAAAGUGAUUGGAUCAUAACAUAACACAGCCUUUACUAAAACUACGUACAAUUGGGCUUUCAAUGUAUUACUCAAAUGAUCUUGGAAGAUCUCAACAAACAUUAGGUAUAUGUAUCUUAAUGCUACACAUACGAGCUCAGUCGUAAUUCGUAAAAUCCAUACUGCAAGUAGUUUCUGUGAAGGGGGUCAUAAAAGAGAGAAUUUACAUUUUACAGAAUACUUGAGAAAGACGUUUGCGAUGUUUUAUUGAUGAUGUAACAUAAUAUAAAUCAAAAUAAAUUGCAGAUAAUGUUGUAAGUACUAAUGUCCUCAGUAAAGGUGAUAAAACAAAUAUUGAUUUUUCUGAAGUAUUUCGAUAACUCAUUAUAUUUGGCUUCUUGUGAUUUCCUAAUUCAAUACAAUACACACUGACAUUACUUUCAUCUCCCAAUUUAAAAAGUUACAUUUAGAAAAUGUCACACAACCGGAUCACAGCGGUCCGUCCACCUGAACCCUUGGGCUCACGUACGUAAAUAAUACAGUAAAAUAUAUAAUUAAAAGGACACAGUAACAGCUCAUCGGCCCUCUUCUUGGGUAAAUCUUUUGUGCCCCAGCUUAUAAAUCACAAUUGACACUAAUCUUUGUCAUCCGUAUAUUCCUAAUGUCUGCCGGCAUUUUAAUAAGUAUAUGGUCCAGCCAAUGUUCUGCUGCCCUGCAUGAAUAUGGUGUAUUUCUUUGUGUAUGAACCUCUGUCCUGCGUGGCAGUGAGAAGUGAUACCACCCUCAGUGUCAAGACCUGACUGAAUUACUCAGAAUAGGCAAACUGUACUCCAAGCUUUGUCACAAUAUUGUUCAUGAGGACUUGCAGCAGAUUUUUGCAACAAAUUUGAUCAGUAACAAAAAUAGCUCAGAAUAUGAAAUUAUAAACUGAAAGACUAUCGGUUGGAAUGAAUAUUCAACAUAAAUAACACGAGCCUUUUAAAAUGACACUUUUUAAUACUUUUUACUUUUAUCCUCUUCACCAGCCGCUUGGGUGAACGGUCACGUCUUUGGUACGCAAUGUUUUUGUGUAAUGUUUUCUCAUGAUUUUUUUUAUUUAUGCAGCUAUACAACUUAAUAAUAAACAUUUAUUUUGGUGGGGUUGUGACAAUUAUAGUCCUGUUGUUGAUCAGCAGAUAAAUCGUCAUGGUGUCUUUAUUUAUACUGUAAUUUCUGAUAGCUCAUUAAUGAAGACAACCAGUAACUAGGAUUACUCUAUAUAAUUGCUUGAUCUUGUCAAUAUGAAGUAGUGUUAUAGGGGAGUCUCGUGGCCUCUUUCAUUGCUCGUGGCAAGUCUGUUAGAAGUUUUAUCGGUGUGGCAACAUGAGGAUUGAGAGGCGGAGCGCCGGUCGGUGAUGCAGGUCAGACGGGACGGGAAGCAGCAGCAGACGCCACUCGCCAGCAGACUUUUGCAGUAGCCGGCAUCGACAGCUCAGUUUUCACACGUAUUCCUGACCCUUUCCUGCAUCAUGUCUCUAGAG